AUUUUCUUCAGGGUCUUCUUCCCAAGAUAUUCCUUUGCUUAUACCUCAGGAAGCUGAAGGGGCGGAAAGUUUCAAGGAAGAACUAAAAAUAAAUGGUUUCCAUACAGGGCAUGGUUUUCAUGAUCAGCGUAGCAGGUCUAGCAGAAUCCCUUUCUCUUUCCGGAAGACCCGCGUAGAACCUUUAGCUCCAGAUUUGCCAAUGAAAGGAUUUGUGGACGAGUUGGAUCAAAACCUGGAGCUAUCAUCAAAUCUGGCGCAGCCUGGCAUGAAGAAGUUGGACAAGGAUUGGUGGGAGAAACAAGAGAGAGGCAAUCAAGUUGUUUCACCUGAAGAAAAUGGGCAAGUUGGUCCUCGUGUUUCAUGUCGUUGCCAGAUUAUAAGGAGUGUCAGUCA
RNAcentral lists this unclassified non-coding RNA (393 nucleotides) under Hevea brasiliensis (rubber tree). The record is from RNAcentral. Lineage: Eukaryota; Viridiplantae; Streptophyta; Magnoliopsida; Malpighiales; Euphorbiaceae.